RNAcentral lists this small RNA (28 nucleotides) under Bombyx mori (domestic silkworm). Its description in RNAcentral is "ovarian small RNA-33026". The record is from RNAcentral. Lineage: Eukaryota; Metazoa; Arthropoda; Insecta; Lepidoptera; Bombycidae.
UGAUUAUGGCUUGAUGAGUGGCUUAAGU